UGGAGUAAAUCAGGAAUAGGUUGGAGUAAGUAAGGGCUGAGGUUUCUUUAGCUCUCAGAAGCUUCUGGGAGGACUUCCCAAAGUCAUGGGAUGUGGCAGCCUGUCACUGAGGGAUAACAUGGAUUAGGUAAGUACAUUUAGCUUCACCUCUCUUUUUCUUCUGAAAAAAGCACCUUUCUUUUUUUCUUCCCUCAAAGCAACCACAGCAGUUAGCCAAUAUUGAAUACCUUGAGGGUUGUUUCUAUUGGGAAAAGAAGCCAGUGCUGGAGCUGGGUGCUUUGUGCAAGGCUUAUUAUUGAAAAAGGAUGUCAGGAGCCCUAUUUCCCUGAACUCAGCAUGGAUGGACAAUAGGACGCAGUUUCUAUUUCAAGACUCUUUUCAGCCAACACAAUCCAUAACAGAACUUCUUUUUCCCCCUGGUCUCUCUCUCUCCACAGCUUUAUCUGAACAGCAGAUGACAAGUAAUUUUCUGGUGUGUCCUCAUUUUCCAUCUCUCUCUAUUACUUUUCCUGCAGACGGGGCAUGCACACUCAGCUGGUAUUAAUUCAGUCCCUAUGUCUUUUUGUUCUCUGUGUUCCCAUUCAGGCUACCAUUUUAGAUGGGUCUCUCCCACGAGGAACAAAGAGGCCAUUAAUUUCUCCACUGUUUCACUAAUUCAAAGGUAUUAAUGCUCACCAGAUUCAGAGCAGAGAUGUGACUGCAUAAGGAUCAAAGACAAGAUUUGCUGAGUGCCAUCCACUCAAGACAGCAGCACCUCAGCUGUAGCACCCUCAGCCUCUCCACUUGGCUUGCUGGCAAGUGCAGUGACAAACCACUGAGGACAAGCUUCUCUCCUAACACAGACCACUUGCAAGCCAAAAAUUUCAUUUGCUGAAAGCUGUGCCAUACCAGUUUAUGUCUACUUGAGAUGCAACUGUCCAAUGCUGCAAAGUCAAAAAGGGGAAAUAGUACCUCCAAAUACGAAAGGGUAGCUGCCUUCCUAUGCCAAAAAGAUGAUUUUAUUUCAUUGUCACGUUUCUUGUUCUUUUUGUGGCAUGGUCUAUGCUUGAUUUCAGUCUAGACCACACCCUGGCUCACUGUGCUGGAAUGCUGUGCAUAAUGGACAGGUGGGCAGUGAGUAAACCCUCGACAACCCAAAAGAUGAUGUGAGACAUAGAACACAAGAAAGCAAAUGCAAAAAAGCUUCAGUUCAGUUCCUAUCUAAGCAGAAAUCACUGUUUGUUUAUUACUUGUUUUCCAGGGUUUUUUUUUUUGCAAGUAGGUUGUUUCCUGUCAAGCUGAGCUGCUGUAUUUUGAAGAGCCCUGUGAUAGAAGAGCAUAUAAAACUCGAAUGUCCAAAUGCAAUUUUUAAAAAAUCAGGUCAGAUAAAUCCUAUGAAGAGGGUCAAACAGUAGAAAGAACAGAGAGAACAGAAAUGGGGGAAAAAUGUAUGGCUGUCUUUCCUGUUCUCAUUUAACCUGAAUAAGAAAUUAAGGAGGAGAAGAGGGAAGGAAGAGGAAAGACAGAACUAGAACAAAAUUAUUUCAGAAUCUUUUACAGAUUACAAUCUUUAUAUUUACAUAUGAAACCAGACUGGACAAAGCACUAAAAAUGCACUGUAUCUCAUUGGGAACAAUCCUAUAUAGCAGCAGGGAAAUACAGCAGUUGACAUAAAUGGCCUUUUUCUAUCAUUAGCCUCUGUGAUUCCAUACCCAUUUCAUUCACAGCAUGUAUCCUUCUUACAAGUCUCUCUGUAAUAAUAGUUCCAGAAAUACAAUCCACCCAGCCCUCAUUCUCUGCACUACUGAGGAGCUGGUGCUUUUUAGUGCUUGUCAUAUUGGUAUGGACAUUGAUGACAGACAUCCCGAUGUUCCUCUCUAUUCCAUUAGUUUUAUACCAUUAUAAUUCAUGCAGGGAGAAAUGUACAAGCAAAAUGUCUCACACAGGUUUUGGGGUGAUUUCUGCAGAAAGAACAGAGGAUGCAGCGUGCUGUAAAAGUCCUGGAGAAAAUGAGCACUGUUAUCUGUCUUUGAUGUACACAGAAAUUACUUAUCAGCCAUUAAACAACUGCCUUGACUUUUUACACUUUCUCCCAGUUGCCCAGGCCUAGAGUUACCUGUCUUGAUUACACUAAAGAUGUUUUGUAAGCCUUACAGCAAAAGCUAUUUUUACAGGGCAAAUUCCCCUGACCUGAUAAUAACAGGGGAUUUGUCAUUACCAAAAAUAUUUGGGAUAUGAAGAGUUCCUGUUAACAACAGAAUAAAAGUAAAAGGCAUAUGAGGGGUUUUGGUUAACACCAGAAUAGCCCUUAAAGCACUCUCUGGGAAGGUAAAAGGCCACAUAGGGCAUCUACUGUAGGUUUUGAACCUUACCCAGCACUCAAAUGUCAUAUAUUGUCCUUCCUUUUUAAGGUUACCACUUUGCAGGAGACUCCAACUUGUUUAAGUAUGUGGAUACUCUGACUGAAGCCAAAGUGAUCAGGAACUUUGAACCCACCUGGCUUGGCAUGCAGGUCUAUAAUACCAGGCAAAUACUAUGGAGGCUGAUAUUCUUCUCAAUAAAUUCAGGUCCUCAUUGCA
This is a non-coding RNA of Taeniopygia guttata (zebra finch), 2558 nucleotides long. NCBI's taxonomy places the organism in Eukaryota, Metazoa, Chordata, Aves, Passeriformes, Estrildidae. The record is from RefSeq and is a predicted model, not a curated record.